UACGAAGGCCGCAAUUUCUGGAG
Molecule: non-coding RNA, 23 nt
Filed under: Drosophila melanogaster (fruit fly)
Lineage: Eukaryota; Metazoa; Arthropoda; Insecta; Diptera; Drosophilidae
Source: RNAcentral